UACAGAGGGUGCGAGCGUUACUCGGAAUUACUGGGCGUAAAGCGCACGUAGGCGGCUUGGUAUGUCGGGUGUGAAAUCCCCGGGCUCAACCUGGGAACUGCAUCCGAAACUGCCUUGCUAGAGUAUGGGAGAGGGAAGUGGAAUUUCCGGUGUAGCGGUGAAAUGCGUAGAUAUCGGAAGGAACAUCAGUGGCGAAGGCGGUCUGCUGGGCCGUUGCUGACGCUGAGGCGCGACAGCGUGGGGAGCAAACAGG
RNAcentral lists this ribosomal RNA (253 nucleotides) under uncultured bacterium. RNAcentral describes it as "partial 16S ribosomal RNA". It matches the Rfam family "Bacterial small subunit ribosomal RNA", at positions 524 to 776 of the family's 1533-position model. The record is from RNAcentral.